This 449-nucleotide ribosomal RNA is filed under the name uncultured bacterium. Its description in RNAcentral is "bacterial SSU rRNA". It matches the Rfam family "Bacterial small subunit ribosomal RNA", at positions 28 to 457 of the family's 1533-position model. The record is from RNAcentral.
GAUGAACGCUGGCGGCGUGCUUAACACAUGCAAGUCGAACGAAGCACUUAAGACAGAUCUUUUCGGAGUGAAGACUUUUGUGACUGAGUGGCGGACGGGUGAGUAACGCGUGGGUAACCUGCCUCAUAGAGGGGGACAACAGUUGGAAACGACUGCUAAUACCGCAUAGUAAGAAGGAUUCGCAUGUUUUCUUCUUGAAAGCUUUUGCGCUAUGAGAUGGACCCGCGUCUGAUUAGCUAGUUGGUAAGGUAACGGCUUACCAAGGCGACGAUCAGUAGCCGGCUUGAGAGAGUGAACGGCCACAUUGGGACUGAGACACGGCCCAGACUCCUACGGGAGGCAGCAGUGGGGAAUAUUGCACAAUGGGGGAAACCCUGAUGCAGCGACGCCGCGUGAGUGAAGAAGUAUUUCGGUAUGUAAAGCUCUAUCAGCAGGGAAGAUAAUGACGG